Molecule: non-coding RNA, 71 nt
Organism: Eublepharis macularius
Lineage: Eukaryota; Metazoa; Chordata; Lepidosauria; Squamata; Eublepharidae
Source: the annotation of a RefSeq genome assembly
GGGGCUGUAGCUUAGUGGUAGAGCAUCUGCUUUGUAUGCAGAAGUCCCAGGUUCAAUCUCUGGCACCUCCA